CCGUAACUCCUGAACGAAUUGGUUUACAAACAGUCAAUCCUAACAAUCUAAACAACAAAGAGUAAAUGAGCGAUAGCCUAACUGCAGAUGUAGCCAUACCACAUUUAAAUACAGUGAACUACGUGACUAAAGCUAUGAUAUGAAUAAACAAGGAAAGAAGAAAAGAAAAACGUGUCGGGAAGAAAGUCACCCAUCUGAAAUCUUCUCAUUGAAGAGG
Molecule: long non-coding RNA, 217 nt
Filed under: Actinidia chinensis (golden kiwifruit)
Lineage: Eukaryota; Viridiplantae; Streptophyta; Magnoliopsida; Ericales; Actinidiaceae
Description: long non-coding RNA (ACHI_LNC001321)
Source: RNAcentral